This is a long non-coding RNA of Taeniopygia guttata (zebra finch), 751 nucleotides long. RefSeq lists it as uncharacterized. NCBI's taxonomy places the organism in Eukaryota, Metazoa, Chordata, Aves, Passeriformes, Estrildidae. The record is from RefSeq and is a predicted model, not a curated record.
UCCAGAUUGUUCCCGAGCUCAGAUCAUCGGUACAAUUCUUGGAAAGAAAACCUGGCGCAACCCAUGGCUAAUUCUUGUAACAAUAUAUAUUUUUAUGAGCUGCUUUUUCAAAUACAACACACGUUGAGGUGAUCGUAUUAUAUUUUUUUUUAAUGCCAGACAUGGAUUUAGCAAUGCAAUUAUACUGCCUUAAUUUGCAUGAACAGAGACUCCACCAAAGCAAAGGAUUAUGCUUAUGUCUUUUGAGGGGAAAUACACAUAUGCGUAUGCACGGCAGAAGGGGAAAAAAAAGGGACUUCCUCGAAUUCAGUACAUCAAUAAUGUACCUUGUUAAGUGAAGUCAUUUGAAUCCGCGUCGUCUCAGCAUCAAGGACAAGAGACAGCUCAGUGUUUGCCCGGACAAAACGAGCCCUAGGAGGCCGCCCAGCACAAUGAUGGUCCAGAGAGCGGGUCUGCAGCCGCCGGCUGUACCGCAGGUACCAGCGCUCCCUGCAAGAACACCCCGCAAACACCGCACAACUGCCGGCAACGAGAACAACCUUCCUCCGAACCCAGCACCUGAGCAAACUCCUCCGGCCGCACUCUGGGGCCGGGAACCAUCGCUUCCCCCGAUCGCCCCGCAGCUCCAGCCCGCGGGAUGCUCGGCCGGGACCGCCUCAGCCCCGAGCGCAGGCUCGGAGCCCUCCGCCACUGCGGGAGGCGGUUUUGGCUGCUCCUAUUGUGUAAAUGACAAAUAAAACAAGAAACUGCC